AACGCUAGCUACAGGCUUAACACAUGCAAGUCGAGGGGCAGCAUAAAAGUAGCAAUACUUUGGUGGCGACCGGCGCACGGGUGAGUAACGCGUAUGCAACCUACCUAUCAGAGGGGAAUAACCCGGCGAAAGUCGGACUAAUACCGCAUAAAACAGGGGCACCGCAUGGUGAUAUUUGUUAAAGAAAUUCGCUGAUAGAUGGGCAUGCGUUCCAUUAGGUAGUUGGUGAGGUAACGGCUCACCAAGCCGACGAUGGAUAGGGGAACUGAGAGGUUGGUCCCCCACACUGGUACUGAGACACGGACCAGACUCCUACGGGAGGCAGCAGUGAGGAAUAUUGGUCAAUGGGCGGGAGCCUGAACCAGCCAAGUCGCGUGAAGGAAGAAGGAUCUAUGGUUCGUAAACUUCUUUUGCAGGGGAAUAAAGUGCAGGACGUGUCCUGUUUUGUAUGUACCCUGAGAAUAAGGAUCGGCUAACUCCGUGCCAGCAGCCGCGGUAAUACGGAGGAUCCGAGCGUUAUCCGGAUUUAUUGGGUUUAAAGGGUGCGUAGGUGGUUUGAUAAGUCAGCGGUGAGAGUUUGCAGCUUAACUGUAAAAAUGCCGUUGAAACUGUCGGACUUGAGUGUAAAUGAGGUAGGCGGAAUGCGUGGUGUAGCGGUGAAAUGCAUAGAUAUCACGAAGAACUCCGAUUG
RNAcentral lists this ribosomal RNA (691 nucleotides) under uncultured bacterium. Its description in RNAcentral is "bacterial SSU rRNA". It matches the Rfam family "Bacterial small subunit ribosomal RNA", at positions 32 to 715 of the family's 1533-position model. The record is from RNAcentral.